Molecule: non-coding RNA, 34 nt
Filed under: Prorocentrum micans
Lineage: Eukaryota; Dinophyceae; Prorocentrales; Prorocentraceae
Source: RNAcentral
UGUUUUUUUUUUUUUUUUUUUUUUUUUUUUUCGU